Molecule: ribosomal RNA, 465 nt
Filed under: uncultured bacterium
Lineage: Bacteria
Description: partial 16S ribosomal RNA
Rfam family: Bacterial small subunit ribosomal RNA
Source: RNAcentral
GACGAACGCUGGCGGCGUGCUUAACACAUGCAAGUCGAACGGAAAGGCCCCUUUGGGGGUACUCGAGUGGCGAACGGGUGAGUAACACGUGAGUAACCUGCCCUUGACUUCGGGAUAACUUCAGGAAACUGGGGCUAAUACCGGAUAGGAAUCCUUGCUGCAUGGUGGGGGUUGGAAAGCUUCGGCGGUUUUGGAUGGACUCGCGGCUUAUCAGCUUGUUGGUGGGGUAGUGGCUUACCAAGGCUUUGACGGGUAGCCGGCCUGAGAGGGCGACCGGCCACAUUGGGACUGAGAUAAGGCCCAGACUCCUACGGGAGGCAGCAGUGGGGAAUAUUGCACAAUGGGCGGAAGCCUGAUGCAGCAACGCCGCGGGCGGGAUGACGGUCUUCGGGUUGUAAACCGCUUUCAGCAGGGGCGAAGCUUGUGGUGACGGUACCUGCAGAAGAAGCACCGGCUAACUACGUG